AGGCUGAGCUGUGAUGGGGAGAAGACAUUGUGUCUUCGAGUCGUUGAUUUCACACUGCCGAGAAAAGCCUCUAGAUAGAAAAUAGGUGCCCGUACCGCAAACCGACACAGGUAGUCAAGAUGAGAAUUCUAAGGUGAGCGAGCGAACUCUCGUUAAGGAACUCGGCAAAAUGACCCCGUAACUUCGGGAGAAGGGGUGCUCUUUAGGGUUAACGCCCAGAAGAGCCGCAGUGAAUAGGCCCAAGCGACUGUUUAUCAAAAACACAGGUCUCUGCUAAACCGUAAGGUGAUGUAUAGGGGCUGACGCCUGCCCGGUGCUGGAAGGUUAAGAGGAGUGGUUAGCUUCUGCGAAGCUACGAAUCGAAGCCCCAGUAAACGGCGGCCGUAACUAUAACGGUCCUAAGGUAGCGAAAUUCCUUGUCGGGUAAGUUCCGACCCGCACGAAAGGCGUAACGAUUUGGGCACUGUCUCAACGAGAGACUCGGUGAAAUCAUAGUACCUGUGAAGAUGCAGGUUACCCGCGACAGGACGGAAAGACCCCGUGGAGCUUUACUGUAGCCUGAUAUUGAAAUUCGGCACAGCUUGUACAGGAUAGGUAGGAGCCUUUGAAACGUGAGCGCUAGCUUACGUGGAGGCGCUGGUGGGAUACUACCCUAGCUGUGUUGGCUUUCUAACCCGCAC
Molecule: ribosomal RNA, 680 nt
Filed under: Staphylococcus aureus S100
Lineage: Bacteria; Bacillati; Bacillota; Bacilli; Caryophanales; Staphylococcaceae
Description: bacterial LSU rRNA
Rfam family: Bacterial large subunit ribosomal RNA
Source: RNAcentral